Molecule: transfer RNA, 68 nt
Filed under: Nerita insculpta
Lineage: Eukaryota; Metazoa; Mollusca; Gastropoda; Cycloneritida; Neritidae
Description: tRNA-Trp
Rfam family: tRNA
About the family: Transfer RNA (tRNA) molecules are approximately 80 nucleotides in length.
Source: RNAcentral
AGAAUCUUAGGUUAAUUUUAAACCUUUAGCCUUCAAAGCUUAAAUCAAACUUUAUUGUUUAGAUUCUG